CCUACGGGAGGCAGCAGUGAGGAAUAUUUGUCAAUGGACGAGAGUCUGAACCAGCCAAGUAGCGUGAAGGAUGACUGCCCUAUGGGUUGUAAACUUCUUUUAUAUGGGAAUAAAACGUUCCACGUGUGGGAUUUUGUAUGUACCAUAUGAAUAAGGAUCGGCUAACUCCGUGCCAGCAGCCGCGGUAAUACGGAGGCGCCGAGCGUUAUCCGGAUUUAUUGGGUUUAAAGGGUGAGUAGGUGGUUUGUUAAGUCAGGUGUGAAAGUUGGCGGCUCAACCGUAAGAUUGCAGUUGAAACUGGGAGUCUAGAGUACAGGAGAGGGAGGCGGAAUUCGUGGUGUAGCAGUGAAAUGCGUAGAUAUCGCGAAGAACCCUGGUGGCGAAGGCAGCUCACUGGACAGCAACUGACGCUGAGGCUCGAAGGUGAGGGGAUCAAAAGGGAUUAGAUACCCUAGUAGUC
This 460-nucleotide ribosomal RNA is filed under the name uncultured bacterium. Its description in RNAcentral is "partial 16S ribosomal RNA". It matches the Rfam family "Bacterial small subunit ribosomal RNA", at positions 338 to 795 of the family's 1533-position model. The record is from RNAcentral.